RNAcentral lists this long non-coding RNA (2066 nucleotides) under Patiria miniata (bat star). Its description in RNAcentral is "uncharacterized LOC119724896". Lineage: Eukaryota; Metazoa; Echinodermata; Asteroidea; Valvatida; Asterinidae. The record is from RNAcentral.
GCCCUUGGAAGCCCAGAAUGAGUUCUUACAUGGUGAGGAUCAGCUAGGGAACGAAGCAACUGUGCCCUUGGGAACCCGGACUGAGGAGCUCCUUCUUGAUGAUCCUGACGAUUUUUCCCCACACAGGAAAAAAUCAAUGCAAGAAAACUAAGUUCUGACAUCGCAGCGGGAAAUAAGAUUGAAAUCGCCGCUACAUCAAACAAAGGGCUUCCGAAUUCACGACGCGGGAAUUUACCGCGUCGAUCAAGCAAAUUUCAUUGCAGAGUUUCGCGCACCCUAACGAAUUUUCUGAACUGUAUACUCGGUAUUUCCUGUGGACAAUAAGAAAAACACGUAGGUCGGACUCGAACCCACGACCUCCUGAUUACAAAAAAAAAAGCAGCUGUAAAAAAAGGGUUUUCACAGUCCGGUUUUCACAGGAGUCUUAUUAUCGGGUUAAUCUCUCGCACGUGACCAGUCACUCUCCUAUAAUUACUGACGUAGUAGGCGCAAUACCAAUGAGUCGGAUAUUCACACUGCACCUGAAACUAGUGCAAAGCGGGUGUUGAACAAUUGGGCGCUAGUAAUCAGAGGUGCGUGCGCGUGUAUGAUUAUUGAAGUCACAAGACGAACUUGAUAAACCAAUCCAUUUAGCCCCGCCCAUGGUUUUGGCCAAUCACGGUGGUUGAUAAUCCAAAAUACACACGCGCUUGUGACGCGCGCGGCUCGAACAUGCGCAGGGUGGCAUGUGGGUGGUGCUAGCUCAUGCUGACCACGUGCGAAAUGGGCGUGACCUAACGUGAACGGUACAUAAAUUUGUAUUCAAGCGAUGUCUGAAAAAUCGGUACCAGCAGAUUUCACUUUGACUUGCGAAAAAGCAUAUUAUUAAAUUUGACCGAGCGAAUUAUGGAUGAUUGACAUGUGCUUAAAAUUGGGCGAUGGUUGAAGAUCUGCAGUACUACUUUUAUGUUAAGUUUUCUUGUUUAAAAUUGUUUAAAAUUUGUUUGGAAGUCCUGCAAUAUUUUUGCUAUGAAAUCAAAUCAGCUUCAACAUGAAAAUGAGCAUAACAAAAGAACAUACACAAUGUAUAUAACUGCCAGUUGACAAUUACCUUUUUAUUUUUCAAAAAAUAAACAAGGAAUAAUAUGAUUGCAUCUAAGAAACGAGCAAAAACAAAUGAUAUUUAUAAACGAUUCCUGAAAGAACUAAAUGAAAAUGGUGUACUAUAACCUUAUACGAACAGACACAAUUUUUAAAUAACCCAGUACAAAAGCGCAUAAUUGUAGGUUAAAAUUUGCUACAUAUUUAACAAGGUUCAAGGCUUGGAUAUUGCAGUCUCACCAAGUCAUGAAUAUGCACGUUUUGCGGUCAGGUGAUCGUGCAUGUUGAAUAUGCAUGAAUGAUCCUUUCAAAUGCAAAGUCAGUUUUUAAUGUAUGUUUUUGUGUGCAAAUCACCCAGUACAAAAGCGCAUACUUGUAGGUGAAAAUUAGCCAGAUAUUAACAUGGUUCACUGCUUGGAUAUUACAGUCUCACCAAGUCAUGAAUAUGCAUGUUUGCGGUCAGGUGAUCGUGCAUGUUGAAUAUGCAUGAAUGAUCCUUUCAAAUGCAAAGUCACUGCUUUUAUGAAUGUACAAUGUAUGUGUAUGUGCAGCAGCAAAGCCCAGUUUUAUAAGGAUUAUAAAUCAAAUCAAUAUUGAUUUUAAUUUAACAAAUGUAUCAUUUCAAAUCUGGAUAAACUUGGAAGUGAUGAAUCAAACUCGCAAAAUCUUCAGUAUUAUAUAUAUUAUACAUUGUAUAAUGUAUAGUUGUUUUCUGCAACGGUUACAGAUUUCUGGAAGAUGUGUUUCAUCACAGAUCUUACUAUAAACAUAUCAUUUCAAAUCUGGAUAAACUUCAAACUUGGUAAAGAUGUAUCGAACUCGCAAAAUCUUCAGUGCAAUAAAUGUUAUACAUUGUAUAACUAUUUUCUGCAAUCUUACAGCAUAACCUCAACAGGGUAGACUGGGCACAAUGUAUUCGUGCACAUAUUCAAUGGGAUCACAAAUUAACAGUGAACGAAUAAAGAAAAUUGACUUGGUAUACGAAA